GAGUUUGAUCCUCGGCUCAGGAUGAACGCUGGCGGCGUGCUUAACACAUGCAAGUCGAACGGAAAGGCCCCUUCGGGGGUACUCGAGUGGCGAACGGGUGAGUAACACGUGGGUGACCUGCCCUGCACUUCGGGAUAAGCCUGGGAAACUGGGUCUAAUACCGGAUAGGACCGCAUCGUGAGGAUGUGGUGGAAAGUUUUUUCGGUGCAGGAUGGGCCCGCGGCCUAUCAGCUUGUUGGUGGGGUAAUGGCCUACCAAGGCGGCGACGGGUAGCCGGCCUGAGAGGGUGGACGGCCACAUUGGGACUGAGACACGGCCCAGACUCCUACGGGAGGCAGCAGUGGGGAAUAUUGCACAAUGGGCGCAAGCCUGAUGCAGCGACGCCGCGUGGGGGAUGAAGGCCUUCGGGUUGUAAACUCCUUUCAUCAUCGACGAAGGGCUCACUUGUUGUGGGUUUGACGGUAGGUGGAGAAGAAGCACCGGCUAACUACGUG
RNAcentral lists this ribosomal RNA (494 nucleotides) under uncultured Corynebacterium sp. Its description in RNAcentral is "bacterial SSU rRNA". It matches the Rfam family "Bacterial small subunit ribosomal RNA", at positions 9 to 507 of the family's 1533-position model. Lineage: Bacteria; Bacillati; Actinomycetota; Actinomycetes; Mycobacteriales; Corynebacteriaceae. The record is from RNAcentral.